GACGAACGCUGGCGGCGUGCUUAACACAUGCAAGUCGAACGGAAAGGCCCUGCUUUUGUGGGGUGCUCGAGUGGCGAACGGGUGAGUAACACGUGAGUAACCUGCCCUCGACUUUGGGAUAACUUCAGGAAACUGGGGCUAAUACCGGAUAGGAGCUCCUGCUGCAUGGUGGGGUUGGAAAGUUUCGGCGGUUGGGGAUGGACUCGCGGCUUAUCAGCUUGUUGGUGGGGUAGUGGCUUACCAAGGCUUUGACGGGUAGCCGGCCUGAGAGGGUGACCGGCCACAUUGGGACUGAGAUACGGCCCAGACUCCUACGGGAGGCAGCAGUGGGGAAUAUUGCACAAUGGGCGGAAGCCUGAUGCAGCAACGCCGCGUGCGGGAUGACGGCCUUCGGGUUGUAAACCGCUUUCGCCUGUGACGAAGCGUGAGUGACGGUAAUGGGUAAAGAAGCACCGGCUAACUACGUG
RNAcentral lists this ribosomal RNA (467 nucleotides) under uncultured bacterium. Its description in RNAcentral is "partial 16S ribosomal RNA". It matches the Rfam family "Bacterial small subunit ribosomal RNA", at positions 28 to 507 of the family's 1533-position model. The record is from RNAcentral.